RNAcentral lists this transfer RNA (75 nucleotides) under Azonexus sp. RNAcentral's name for it is "tRNA-Val". It matches the Rfam family "tRNA". Rfam says of the family: Transfer RNA (tRNA) molecules are approximately 80 nucleotides in length. Their secondary structure includes four short double-helical elements and three loops (D, anti-codon, and T loops). RNAcentral also lists the same sequence under 1 other name. Lineage: Bacteria; Pseudomonadati; Pseudomonadota; Betaproteobacteria; Rhodocyclales; Azonexaceae. The record is from RNAcentral.
GCGCGCCUAGCUCAGUGGUAGAGCACUGCCUUCACACGGCAGGGGUCACUGGUUCGAACCCAGUGGUGCGCACCA